Molecule: ribosomal RNA, 213 nt
Filed under: Salmonella enterica subsp. enterica
Lineage: Bacteria; Pseudomonadati; Pseudomonadota; Gammaproteobacteria; Enterobacterales; Enterobacteriaceae
Description: partial 23S ribosomal RNA
Rfam family: Bacterial large subunit ribosomal RNA
Source: RNAcentral
GCGUAAUAGCUCACUGGUCGAGUCGGCCUGCGCGGAAGAUGUAACGGGGCUAAACCAUGCACCGAAGCUGCGGCAGCGACACUGUGUGUUGUUGGGUAGGGAGCGUUCUGUAAGCCUGUGAAGGUGGCCUGUGAGGGUUGCUGGAGGAAUCAGAAGUGCGAAUGCUGACAUAAGUAACGAUAAAGCGGGUGAAAAGCCCGCUCGCCGGAAGAC